This 291-nucleotide long non-coding RNA is filed under the name Lotus japonicus. RNAcentral describes it as "long non-coding RNA (LJAP_LNC000591)". The record is from RNAcentral. Lineage: Eukaryota; Viridiplantae; Streptophyta; Magnoliopsida; Fabales; Fabaceae.
GGAGACACUAAAUUACUUAGAAAUUUGAAGCACACUCCCUCAAAAAACCACAAGCAUAAAUAAAAAAUAAAAAUAAAACAAUCAAGUACCUGUUGGCAAGACGAUCGACAACCAAUUCAUUCACAACAUAAGAGACAACCCUGUUGAUGAAAUUCCCACCACCAGCCAUGUUUGUGUCUCAGCUUCAAACUGCAAAUUAUUCAAAUAUCAUAAAAAUAAAAAGCAAAACCCUUAAACGUUGAAGACCAAAAAUUCAAACUUUUCAUAGAGUUAUCGCUAUUCCCUAAAUUU